AUUGAACGCUGGCGGCAGGCCUAACACAUGCAAGUCGAGCGGCAGCGGGAAGAUAGCUUGCUAUCUUUGCCGGCGAGCGGCGGACGGGUGAGUAAUGCCUAGGGAUCUGCCCAGUCGAGGGGGAUAACAGUUGGAAACGACUGCUAAUACCGCAUACGCCCUACGGGGGAAAGGAGGGGACCUUCGGGCCUUCCGCGAUUGGAUGAACCUAGGUGGGAUUAGCUAGUUGGUGAGGUAAUAGCUCACCAAGGCGACGAUCCCUAGCUGUUCUGAGAGGAUGAUCAGCCACACUGGGACUGAGACACGGCCCAGACUCCUACGGGAGUCAGCAGUGGGGAAUAUUGCACAAUGGGGGAAACCCUGAUGCAGCCAUGCCGCGUGUGUGAAGAAGGCCUUCGGGUUGUAAAGCACUUUCAGUAGGGAGGAAAGGUAGCAGCUUAAUACGCUGUUGCUGUGACGUUACCUACAGAAGAAGGACCGGCUAACUCCGU
RNAcentral lists this ribosomal RNA (491 nucleotides) under uncultured Gammaproteobacteria bacterium. RNAcentral describes it as "bacterial SSU rRNA". It matches the Rfam family "Bacterial small subunit ribosomal RNA", at positions 30 to 506 of the family's 1533-position model. The record is from RNAcentral. Lineage: Bacteria; Pseudomonadati; Pseudomonadota; Gammaproteobacteria.